Molecule: ribosomal RNA, 1457 nt
Filed under: metagenome
Description: bacterial LSU rRNA
Rfam family: Bacterial large subunit ribosomal RNA
Source: RNAcentral
AAUCGAACCCGGAGAUAGCUGGUUCUCCUCGAAAUAGCUUUAGGGCUAGCCUCGUUUUAGUCUUAUGGAGGUAGAGCACUGAAUUUCCGCGGGGGCGUCAAAGCUUACCAAAGAAUAUCAAACUCCGAAUGCCAUGUAGAUGAUGAACGGGAGUCAGACUGCACGAGAUAAGUUGGGCGGUCAAAAGGGAAAGAGCCCAGACCACCGGCUAAGGUCCCAAAGUGUGUGUUAAGUGGAAAAGGAUGUGGGAAUUCGAAGACAACUAGGAUGUUGGCUCAGAAGCAGCCAUACAUUCAAAGAGUGCGUAACAGCUCACUAGUCGAGAGUCCCUGCGCCGAAAAUGUCCGGGGCUGAAACACAACACCGAAGCCGUGGACUCCGUAAGGAGUGGUAGAGGAGCAUUCUUAAAACCGACGAAGCUGUACCGGUAAGGAGCAGUGGAGGGAUAAGAAGAGAGAAUGCCGGAAUGAGUAGCGAGAGGAAGGUGGGAAUCCUUCCGGCCGAAUAUCUAAGGUUUCCAGAGUAAAGCUGAUCUGCUCUGGGUAAGUCGGGGCCUAAGGAGAGGUCGCAAGACGUAUCCGAUGGACAACAGGUUUAGAUUCCUGUACCGCAUAUAAACAGAACUGUGGGGACGCAUGUGGAAAGCAUAAGCCGGGAAUGGAAAGACCGGUACAAGCGGGGUAGGUGUGUGACAGGCAAAUCCGUCAUAUAAGCCGAAGACGUGAUGUGGAGCGAAAUUAAGUAGUGAAGUAUGUGAGCCAUGUGCCGAGAAAAGCCGCUAUUGUUUUAUAUGUGCCCGUACCGUAAACCGACACAGGUGGAUGAGGAGAGAAUCCUAAGGCCGACGGAAGAAGCAUUGUUAAGGAAUUCGGCAAAAUGACCCCGUAACUUCGGGAGAAGGGGUGCCCACUGAAUGGUGGGCCGCAGAGAAUAGGCUCAAGCAACUGUUUAGCAAAAACACAGGUCUAUGCGAAACCGAAAGGUGAAGUAUAUGGGCUGACGCCUGCCCGGUGCUGGAAGGUUAAGAGGAGAGGUUAGCGCAAGCGAAGCUUUGAAUUUAAGCCCCAGUAAACGGCGGCCGUAACUAUAACGGUCCUAAGGUAGCGAAAUUCCUUGUCGGGUAAGUUCCGACCCGCACGAAAGGCGUAAUGAUUUGAGCACUGUCUCGACAAUGCAUCCGGUGAAAUUGAAGUACCAGUGAAGAUGCUGGUUACCCGCGCCAGGACGGAAAGACCCCAUGGAGCUUUACUCCAGUUUGGUACUGGGAUUCGGUACUGCACGUACAGGAUAGGUGGGAGACUGAGAACUUGGGACGCCAGUUUCAAGGGAGUCGCUGUUGGGAUACCACCCCUGCAGUAUUGGGUUUCUAACCAGCCGCUGUGAUCCAGCGGUGGGACAAUGCCAGGCGGGGAGUUUGACUGGGGCGGUCGCCUCCGAAAGGGUAUCGGAGGCGCUCA